AAGACGGUGUUCUCUCUCAGCCCUCUCUCUCCGUCAUUCCAAAACCAAUCGCAGACGGUGUUCCACCAGCGAACCAAAUCGGAUCUUAAUCAUAGGUGAGUCAUCAAAUCAAGGUCAAUGAAAGCAGCAGUUGUGUUCGCGACAUCGAAGAGAUCCCUAAGCAUGAAUCUAAAGCCUAGAGAUAUCUCAGAGAUCUGGUCUCCAGCCAAGCAUAUAUUGGCCAUGACGAAGAAAAGAGAAGACGACAUUUACAUGGACGUUUCCCAAUCUAAGGUAAUAGGGAUUAAAGACUUUUUCAAUCUACAUGAUGUAUGUAAAACUUUUAGAUUGUUUUGGUACUUGUAUGAUGUUUCUGCAUCAUAACAAUGUCAUAAGUUUCUGUUAGCAUUUUGUUUUAACUGUGAUUAAACUUCAAGAACGAACAUAUAUAAUUCAGGAAGAAUUGUAUGAAAUUCGGGAAGUGUUUUAUAACA
This is a non-coding RNA of Camelina sativa (false flax), 473 nucleotides long. The record is from RefSeq and is a predicted model, not a curated record. Lineage: Eukaryota; Viridiplantae; Streptophyta; Magnoliopsida; Brassicales; Brassicaceae.